Long non-coding RNA from Drosophila montana, 2306 nucleotides. RefSeq lists it as uncharacterized. The transcript is spliced from 2 exons. The record is from RefSeq and is a predicted model, not a curated record. NCBI's taxonomy places the organism in Eukaryota, Metazoa, Arthropoda, Insecta, Diptera, Drosophilidae.
GGGUGGGGCAGCCGCUGAGGGGCAGGGUCGGCGCAAAACGUGUAGCUGCCGAUUUCUACGGCUGAUGCAACACACAUAUGGCUAUUGCUAUGGCUAACGUAGCCGCGCAGCAGCGCAAAUCAAAGCCAGUUGACACACACACACACACAUAUACACACAGGACACACAUACUUGCACAACAGACGACGCUUAUCAAGCGCAUGCGACGCAAUAGCAGCCAGCGCCAGCACAGUGACAAAUAAUUAUUGCAAAGGUCCGACGCGAUAAAUUGAUAAUAUAUCGAUUAAUUAAUUUGUUAUGAAACCAACUCGAAAUAACAGGUGAGAGCAACGAUUCCUUCUACAAUUGCAGCGCUGAGUGUCACUGCAGUGUUGCCACCCAAUCAAUAUUUUUGAUGUGUGCAAUUUUAUGCAAGGGCAAGGCGAAUUAUUAAACAAAAGGAGUACAAAGAAAUUGUUUUUUGCUGUUGCUGGCUGACGAACCGCUAGACACAGAGCCAGCAGCGUCGGCGCGUGUGCUGCUGUUGCCGCAAAACAAGUCAAACCACUCACGCAUACAAGCACAGGUAUACAAGCACACAUACACACGUACACUCAUUCUCACUCGCACGAAAAGCAAAAGCUUUACCGGAACGACAACAACAAACAAAAAAGAAUACUGCAGUUGAGUAUGCGCGAUAGCUGAAUACUCUAUCUAACUGAAUUGGUAGUGAUAUGUUCAGCGAAAUAGAUUUUAAUUUAGUACGAUUAUGAAAAGAUUGCAAUAGUAUGGGUUUAUGUAUGCAUGUAUGCAUGUACGUGCACGUGUUCUUGAUUGUGCAUGUCGUACAAACAUGUCUAUAUGUACAUACCGCAUAUACCCUGCGGCAUUACAGUGUAUAGAGCAUAAGAAAUGAGAAAUAAUAUGCACAACAAAAUAAAAUCAAUAAGAAAUAGGCAAUAGGCAAUAGGCAAUAGGCGCUUACCACAGCAGCUGAGACGGCUGCAGCGGCGGCUGCUGAUGAUGCUGUUGCGUCGCUGCCGCCGCUGUUGCCCGCACAGCCAUUGGAAUUGGCAUCGGAGACCGCUGCAUCGGCGUCCAUGGUGUGUUCCCGUUCCCUGACGUUGGCCGCUGCUGCAGCGGCUGCCACAGCAGCAACAGCGGCAGCGACGCGAGCAGCAAACUCUUCGUGCUGCUGCUGCUGCUCAACCUGUUGCUUGCCAGCAGCUGUCAGCUGUUCCAGAUCUAGGCUAUGCAUCAGCGCCAGUUUAUCAGCUGCUUCCGAGUCCAGCAGCGCUGCCGCUGCCGUUGCAGCCGGCUCAACGUCGCCGUCAACGGCGGCAUCCAAGACGGCGGCGUCAACGUCGCGUUCGCCGUCCAAAAUAAAUCGUAUGGCCUCAUAUGCAAACCACAUGGGCUGAUAGUGAACGCCGCGGCUGCGUCCGUUGAGCACCUUGCCGUGCUCGCGAUGGAAGGAGGAGCGCAGCGAUUUGAUUUUCGAGCGUAUCGAUCGAAUUUCCGUGCCAUAUUUUUGGCUUAGCAGCUUCAAGGCCUCGUAUUUGGUCUGCUUGAUGUGGUAGCCUUUGGUGUUGGGGUCCCAGAGCACGCGCUGGCGCCGAUAAUCCUCGAUGAAGCCCAAGAUCGUUGCGCGCGACCACUCAAUGCGGUCCGCGGGCGAUGCCAGCGCCGACGGCGACGGCGGCAGCGCUGCGGCGUCCGCAAUCAAUGCGAUGGCAUUGGAGUUGGCGUCGAGUUUGUACUGCGCUGCGCUGGCGCCGCUGCUGGACAUCGUGCGGAGAAAGUUAACUGUUAAGGAGACGGUGGUGCUGCUGCUGUGACGGUCGGUGCAGUGGGUGGUGUGUCUGGUGUGGCUGUGGUUGGUGCUGGUACGGUUGGGCUGGAUGGAUACGCGCGCGCGCGCAAGCGGCUGCCGGAGAGAGACAGAGACAGAUAGAGAGGAAGGUAGCAAAGAAGGUAAACGCAACGCAACGCAAAACGCAACGCGACGUAAAAAAAAGCGUCCACAACACGUUGCUUUUGACUUUCGACUGAGGCGGCGGCGGCCGCGGCUAGCGGUUGUGUGGCAGAGGAAGCGUAGCGGCAGCAGCAGCAGCAGCAGUAACGGCAGCGGCAAGUGUGGCGGCGGCGGCGACCAAACGGCAGCUCAGCUGCACUUUGUGCGAGAGAGCGCGCGACUGAGCGAUGCACAGUGGUACAAAACUGAAAUGCAAUUUACCAAAAUGCUAAUAACUUGGAUUAAAUAUGAGAACCGUUUUAAUAUGCAUAGAGUAGAACUUUUUCAAUAAAAUGUAAGCAACACACUAAAA